Long non-coding RNA from Rhincodon typus (whale shark), 341 nucleotides. RefSeq lists it as uncharacterized. NCBI's taxonomy places the organism in Eukaryota, Metazoa, Chordata, Chondrichthyes, Orectolobiformes, Rhincodontidae. The transcript is spliced from 3 exons. The record is from RefSeq and is a predicted model, not a curated record.
AGGAAUUACUUACCUGGAUCAUGCAGGUGCAACGCUUUAUGCUCAUAGUCAGAUUCAUCGCUUUUACCAAGACCUUGCAGAAAAUAUCUAUGGUAACCCCCACAGUGCAAAUAUUGCCAGUCGAUUGACACAUGACACUAUUGAACGAGUUCGUUACAGAAUUUCUCGGUCGCUGUUGGCAAAGUGUGGAGCUAACUUACUUCUGUCCGCCAACUCUGAGGCAGUUCACUGGAACUGUGAAGGGCAACUCUGAACAGACAGUGGUUUACCUGGAGCACAACUGCAUUUUAAAAAUGGUGCUGCUGCUUGGAAUCCUGGAAGAUCCUGACAGUGGCAGGCAA